AGAGCAACAGUAGCAGAGGGAGUGAGCCCAUGUUUUUUGUUUUUGCUUUUGCUUUUGGUUAGGUGUGUGGACUGUGGGAGUUUGAGGUUUUUUGUUGGGAAUGGAGUGGUCUUGUAAUGGGAGUACAAAUGUGGAGUGGACUGUGGAGAGAGAUGGAGUGAAGAAUGGGCUGUGGAGGAAAAUAUGAUGAGGCGUGUUGAACAAAGGAAGGAAAAACCAAAUGGAACAAAGGUAGGAGAGAGAGAGAGAGAGAGAGAGAGAGAGAGAGAGAGAGGA
Molecule: long non-coding RNA, 276 nt
Organism: Rhododendron vialii
Lineage: Eukaryota; Viridiplantae; Streptophyta; Magnoliopsida; Ericales; Ericaceae
Exons: 2
Source: RefSeq, a predicted model, not a curated record